Long non-coding RNA from Vanessa atalanta (red admiral), 297 nucleotides. RefSeq lists it as uncharacterized. The transcript has 3 exons. The record is from RefSeq and is a predicted model, not a curated record. NCBI's taxonomy places the organism in Eukaryota, Metazoa, Arthropoda, Insecta, Lepidoptera, Nymphalidae.
CGCUCGCCGCGCGCGCGCGCCGCCCCGCGCCUCUGCACGAGGUACCGGACGAGUGGCAGCUGCUGUGGUCGGGACCGACGGCGCCGGAAGCUUACAUCAAAGAAUUUUGUCACCGAGCUCGCUCGGCCGUCGAGAGAGUGGGCGGGCCUGAAUUUAGCGAAGACUAUAUGCCUCCAGAGGUCGACUUGCGGCAGUUCUUCCGCCCCGCGCGCGUGCUGUGCGCGGCGCGAGCGCGCGAGGCGGCGCGACGCGCGUGCUCGCUGCAGGCGCUCGUACUCGUCGCUAAGUGGGACUGCC